This is a long non-coding RNA of Anopheles stephensi (Asian malaria mosquito), 474 nucleotides long. RefSeq lists it as uncharacterized. The record is from RefSeq and is a predicted model, not a curated record. The transcript has 2 exons. NCBI's taxonomy places the organism in Eukaryota, Metazoa, Arthropoda, Insecta, Diptera, Culicidae.
GGCUGUGGAAGAGGUGGCGUUACAAGCCAACGCCAUAGAAGACGUAGACGACCAUUGGCAAGAAGAUCUCUGGGAUGAACCGGCCCCAGAGCGUAUGCGAUCCGAUCGAUACCGGCUGACUGGUUUGACGACUGCUGGGAUCGGGACGAGGUAGAGCGGGACGACGCACAGGUAAAUCCGCCGCCAUCGUGCAGAGAAAUGCACCUGGAACGCCACGAGGUGAUCGUAGGAGAUUACAGCCUAAGCCACGAAGAACACCAGGUAGACAGCCAAAGUUUUUCAAGUGACAACGAACCUGUGGAAGACUUCGCGGACGAGCUAGCAACAACCAUAAGAGAGCUCUUAGAAGACGGCAGAACCAUACCGGAUCCGCUAACCGAGAAAUUGUUGGAUUCGGUAAGCAGGUACUCGGAAGGAGUACUGACGCGGAAUAGUUUGGGUGCAGUGUUAAUGGAGUUAGAACGCAAACUAAUU